AUGGAGUUCACCAAGGAUGGCUCCGUUGACCUCCGCGGCCAACCGAUCGUCGCCUCCCGGACCGGCCAGUGGAAGGUGUGCUCCUUUUUACAAGGGUACGACGCGUUCAAGCGGAUGGAGUUAUUAUACGGGGUGGUGUCGAACCUGGUGGUGUACCUGACGCCAUAGAUGCGGCAGGAGAUGGUGUGGUCGGUGCACAGCGUCAACAACUGGACAGGGGCGGUGUGGAUGACGCCCAUCGUCGGAGCCUAUGUUGCUGACGCCUUCCUCGGCUGCUUCUGGACCUUCACCGUCGCCUCGCUCAUAUACCUCGUGGUCAGUAAAUCCAGCCAGAAAAUCAUCUCCUCUCCAGCCGAGUCCAGAAAAUUUAUUUAUAGGACGAACAUGGUUGCAGGGCAUGGUUAUGAUAAGCAUGGUCGUCUCCCUGAAGCCACUGCACCGCGGACAGUGACUGCGCCCCGGUGA
This 465-nucleotide ribosomal RNA is filed under the name Triticum aestivum (bread wheat). RNAcentral's name for it is "partial small subunit ribosomal RNA". The record is from RNAcentral. Lineage: Eukaryota; Viridiplantae; Streptophyta; Magnoliopsida; Poales; Poaceae.